CCCGAGGAAACUCGCUAAUACCGCAUAAGCUUUAUGAAGGAAAGGCUGGGACCUUCGGGCCAGUCGCCUUAAGCUGAGCCUGCGUCGGAUUAGCUUGUUGGUGGGGUAAAGGCCUACCAAGGCAACGAUCCGUAGCUGGUCUGAGAGGAUGAUCAGCCACACUGGGACCGAGACACGGCCCAGACUCCUACGGGAGGCAGCAGUGGGGAAUAUUGGACAAUGGGGGCAACCCUGAUCCAGCAAUGCCGCGUGUGUGAAGAAGGCCUGCGGGUUGUAAAGCACUUUCAGUCGCGAGGAAGGGUGUUGGAUUAAUACUCCAGCAUCUUGACGUUAACGACAGAAGAAGCACCGGCUAACUCCGUGCCAGCAGCCGCGGUAAUACGGAGGGUGCAAGCGUUAAUCGGAAUCACUGGGCGUAAAGCGCACGUAGGCGGUUAUUUAAGCCAGAUGUGAAAGCCCGGGGCUCAACCCCGAAUAGCAUUUGGAACUGGGUAACUAGAGUUUGGUAGAGGGGGGUAGAAUUCCAGGUGUAGCGGUGAAAUGCGUAGAGAUCUGGAGGAAUACCGAUGGCGAAGGAGCCCCCUGGACCGAGACUGACGCUGAGGAGCGAAAGUGGGGAGCGAACAGGAUUAGAUACCCUGGUAGUCCACGCUGUAAACGAUGUCAACUAGCUGUCUGGUUCAUUUAAGGACUGGGUAGCGCAGUAACGCGAUAAGUUGACCGCCUGGGGAGUACGGCCGCAAGUUAAAACUCAAAUGAAUUGACGGGGGCCCGCACAAGCGUGGAGCAUGUGGUUUAAUUCGAUGCAACCGAAGAACCUUACCAUCCCUUGACAUCCUGCGAAGAAGCUAGAGAUAGCAUUGU
Molecule: ribosomal RNA, 864 nt
Filed under: uncultured bacterium
Lineage: Bacteria
Description: bacterial SSU rRNA
Rfam family: Bacterial small subunit ribosomal RNA
Source: RNAcentral